This is a long non-coding RNA of Gasterosteus aculeatus aculeatus (three-spined stickleback), 1214 nucleotides long. Lineage: Eukaryota; Metazoa; Chordata; Actinopteri; Perciformes; Gasterosteidae. The record is from Ensembl.
UCGAGUUACCAUUUAUUUCCUUUUAAAACGUGUACUUUGCAGCUUCAACCCUUGCUGACUCUAAUGACAUCACCUGAGGAAAUGUAUCAAACUAUGGUAAGCUCACAUUUAGAGGGAUUUAAAAAAGUGACGUCACAUCUGUAUUAGUGGCAAACCUGCAAACAUCUGCAAUGGCUACCUAGUUACCAGCAAGAAUAGAAGCCACAAAUCAAUUUAAUUGAGGACAAACUUUUCUUGUUUACUUCCUGGUCAGAGAACAUCGUGCACUCUUUUGAAGACAUUUUUUUAAUUAACAGGGAUCUGCUUGGUGAUGCUUGAAAUACCCUCAAGCUCGGGAGAGACCAUGGAGCCACUUAUGUGUUGGCAUACUGCAGAUUGCUAGCCAACUUUGAAUUUAAUCAACAAGGAAUCCAAAUGGUCCAGAGGUGAAAGGUGCAAAACCCGGAAAUGCGACACAAUCUUCCAGAUCGAGAAAAACCCAGGUGGACGGCCGAGCGUUCCCUCUCCACCUGAAACUCCCUCACUGGAAAAGUGCAGCGUCAACACAUUGAGAUGCCAAGACUUUUCAUUCUUCAUCUAAAAUGAAAUUGCACGGAGUGAUUAAGCUAAUACCACUUAAGUUGUUUUAAAAAUUUACAUCUAUUCACGGUUGACUUCAGGUGGUAGAAAGAAGGGCCUCCACACAUGCAUGUGUAUUCCUUUAUAUAUAUAUAUUUUUCAAAUGUACAACAUCAGCCCUCUCUCUAUAACAUAGAAUGUAUAUAACCCAUGCCUCCGUGCAACAGGGGAAAGUGGGUGUCUCUGUGGUCUCCGUCUCUGCCCUCUGUGUCUCCUGUGGGCCAAUUCCCAGUGACAUUCUGCCAAACCCCAAGGUAGCAAGCCAUGAAAAUGAGUGUGUUGCCCUGUGGGUUUAAAAAAAGACAUGUUUUGAUCCAUCCUCUUCGACUAUUCCUUCCCAUGCUUGUUCUCCUAUCUACAGAAUUAGUUCUGUGGGGUAGAGUGGAAAUUAAAGUUCAAUCACUUAGGUUUUCUGCUACCUUACCAUUAUUGCUACCAAAAGGGCUGCAAAUUAAGAUUCUCCUUGUCUCUCUGCAACCACUUGGAGACUGAAAAUUGUGUCACAGGGGACAUGAUGCAGUAAUUUGUGGCGUACAUAAAUAUGAUACAUUAUACAUAGAGAAGCUUUGUGUAUUCAUUUUUCCCAUCGGCUCUCU